Molecule: long non-coding RNA, 1212 nt
Filed under: Homo sapiens (human)
Lineage: Eukaryota; Metazoa; Chordata; Mammalia; Primates; Hominidae
Description: HSALNT0039770
Source: RNAcentral
GGCCCCUCAGGACCCCCUGAACUGGUUUGGAAUCCUAGUUCCUCACAGUCUACGUCAGGCUCAAGCAAGCUUCCGGGAUGCCCUGCUGCUGAACAGGAGGCCGAAGACGAGAGCUGCCCGGAGGACUGGGCAGCAGCUGUUCCAGCAGAGACAUCAGCAAAAGCCAUCUAGAGGUGGAUCCAGAGUGUGGACUAACAGAGAAAAGAAGUGGAGGGAGAGCAGGCCUGCAGCUGGCCGCAGACAUAGCCAGCCUCCAGAACCGCAUUGACUGGGGUCGAAGCCAGCUCCGGGGACUCCAAGAGAAACUCAAGCAGCUGGAGCCUGGGGCUGCCUGACAUGCGCGCAAAGAGGCAGGGCAGCGAGCACAGCUGUUCUCCGACAUGGCUACGUGAUCUCAGGCCUUCUUCCUUCACAAUUAGCUCUUGCCCCUACCCCACGCCAGCUAAUGCCCCUUCUGUGUCCCUGCUCUGCAUGUUUCCAUUUUCCUUAGGUGUGAAGUUUGAAGAGGCAAACAGUAAUUUUGAAAGCCACUACUUUGAAACCAUUCUAAGGCCUGAGUUCCCAUAGGACACACUCACAUAGGCAGGUACACGUUAGUCAACAAUUGGAACUGCCUCUUGGAUCACUCAGCUGUGCUUUCAUGGCUGGAUGAUGGAACACUGUGCGAAGAGAGAUGGGGGCCAGGAAGUAGCGCUUCAUGCUUAGUACAUCCUCCAAAUUGUCUUUGCUGGAGGAGAAAACCGUACUCAGCCAAAAGAUCAGGACAAUAUGACUUGAGUCCACAAGGACACAAACACCUGAGUAGCUGGGCAGCCCUUGGCAGGGUCUAAGCCAGGAAGUAAAAAUGAUCUGGCCUAGAUAUUUAAGGGAACUCUAGGAAGAGGCCUAGGUUUUUAAAAUCCUGUCUCUUUGUCUUACCAUAAGAGGCUGAGCCUCUCUUCAUUUUUUUGAAGGGCCACUUGUGUUUUCUGUUCUGGGAACUUCAUUCAUUUUUCUACUGGGUUGUUGAUCUUUGCAGUAAUUUCUAGGAGCUGUUUAUGUUUGGAGGUAAUUGGUCCUUUGUCCAUAUAUAUGAGAUGUAAGUCUUAUUUUCCAGUUUAUCUUUUUGCUUAUUUUUUUUGACUUUUUAUUGUAAAAUAAAACAUCAAACUGCACAGAACAGUUGAAUAGCUUAAUGAAUAACUACAGUAAAAGCUAUGGUAACCACUACCC